Molecule: ribosomal RNA, 253 nt
Filed under: uncultured bacterium
Lineage: Bacteria
Description: partial 16S ribosomal RNA
Rfam family: Bacterial small subunit ribosomal RNA
Source: RNAcentral
UACAGGGGGGGCAGGCGUUGUUCGGAAUUACUGGGCGUAAAGGGCCAGUAGGCGGCCAACUAAGUCCGACGUGAAAUCCCCAGGCUUAACCUGGGAACUGCGUCGGAUACUGGAUGGCUUGAAUUCGGGAGAGGGAUGCAGAAUUCCAGGUGUAGCGGUGAAAUGCGUAGAUAUCUGGAGGAAUACCGGUGGCGAAGGCGGCUCACUGGCCCGAUACUGACGCUGAGGCACGAAAGCGUGGGGAGCAAACAGG